AAAGUUGGUGGUGAAAUCCCAGAGCUUAACUCUGGAACUGCCAUCAAAACUUUUCAGCUAGAGUUUGAUAGAGGAAAGCAGAAUUUCUAGUGUAGAGGUGAAAUUCGUAGAUAUUAGAAAGAAUACCAAUUGCGAAGGCAGCUUUCUGGAUCAUUACUGACACUGAGGAACGAAAGCAUGGGUAGCGAAGAGGAUUAGAUACCCUCGUAGUCCAUGCCGUAAACGAUGUGUGUUAGACGUUGGAAAUUUAUUUUCAGUGUCGCAGCGAAAGCGAUAAACACACCGCCUGGGGAGUACGACCGCAAGGUUAAAACUCAAAUGAAUUGACGGGGACCCGCACAAGUAGUGGAGCAUGUGGUUUAAUUCGAAGAUACGCGCAGAACCUUACCAACACUUGACAUGUUCGUCGCGACUUUAAGAGAUUAAAGUUUUCGGUUCGGCCGGACGAAACACAGGUGCUGCAUGGCUGUCGUCAGCUCGUGUCGUGAGAUGUUGGGUUAAGUCCCGCAACGAGCGCAACCCUCACUUUUAGUUGCCAUCAUUUAGUUGGGCACUCUGAAAGAACUGCCAGUGAUAAGCUGGAGGAAGGUGGGGAUGACGUCAAGUCCUCAUGGCCCUUACGUGUUGGGCUACACACGUGCUACAAUGGUAUUUACAACAGGAAGCAAAACGGCGACGUUAAGCAAAUCCUAAAAAAAUACCUCAGUUCGGAUUGCACUCUGCAACUCGAGUGCAUGAAGCUGGAAUUACUAGUAAUCGUGGAUCAGCGUGCCACGGUGAAUGCGUUCCCGGGUCUUGUACACACCGCCCGUCACACCAUGGGAGUUGGUUCUACCUUAAGGCAAGGUUUAAAACCCUUGACCACGGUAUAGUCAGCGACUGGGGUGAAGU
RNAcentral lists this ribosomal RNA (891 nucleotides) under marine metagenome. RNAcentral's name for it is "bacterial SSU rRNA". It matches the Rfam family "Bacterial small subunit ribosomal RNA", at positions 584 to 1486 of the family's 1533-position model. The record is from RNAcentral.